RNAcentral lists this small nuclear RNA (100 nucleotides) under Sphaeramia orbicularis (orbiculate cardinalfish). The record is from RNAcentral. Lineage: Eukaryota; Metazoa; Chordata; Actinopteri; Kurtiformes; Apogonidae.
AGUGUAUUUGUGGGCUCUUCAGUUUUAAUGACGCCAAGAGGAUUAGCAUGGCCCCUGUACAAGGAUGACACACAAAAUUCAUUAUUAUUAUUAUUAUUAU